Molecule: unclassified non-coding RNA, 301 nt
Organism: Cavia porcellus (domestic guinea pig)
Lineage: Eukaryota; Metazoa; Chordata; Mammalia; Rodentia; Caviidae
Gene: 7SK
Rfam family: 7SK RNA
About the family: 7SK was discovered as an abundant small nuclear RNA in the mid-70s but a possible function has only recently been suggested.
Source: Ensembl
GGAUGUAAGGCAACUUGGCUGUGACGCCUGUCACCCAAUGACUCUACUCAUCACCAGGAUGGAUUCGCUGACCGGCUGGCUGGCUGGCUGGGGGUCUUGUUCCUCCCUCACCACUCCACGUGUCCCUGCCAAAGCUGCAAGCUCCGGAGGAGGAUGAUGACACCCAUAGAGACGUUCCCUGUCAGUGUACAGUAGCAGUGCACUCCUGCUAAGUCUCACAGAAGCUGAGUCUGAUAGUGUGCCUGUAAAGAGACACAAGCCUGCCCUCACUUCCUCUCUCUCCAUGGUAUCGUGAGUCAGG